UACAGAGGUCUCAAGCGUUGUUCGGAUUCAUUGGGCGUAAAGGGUGCGUAGGCGGCGCGGUAAGUCGGGUGUGAAAUUUCGGAGCUUAACUCCGAAACUGCAUUCGAUACUGCCGUGCUUGAGGACUGGAGAGGAGACUGGAAUUUACGGUGUAGCAGUGAAAUGCGUAGAUAUCGUAAGGAAGACCAGUGGCGAAGGCGAGUCUCUGGACAGUUACUGACGCUGAGGCACGAAGGCCAGGGGAGCAAACGGG
RNAcentral lists this ribosomal RNA (253 nucleotides) under uncultured bacterium. RNAcentral describes it as "partial 16S ribosomal RNA". It matches the Rfam family "Bacterial small subunit ribosomal RNA", at positions 524 to 776 of the family's 1533-position model. The record is from RNAcentral.